AAUUAAUUCUCCACAUGAUGGGGAUAAGUAUGUAAAUCAAGUCAGAAGACAAAAUAUACACACCAGAGGAAGAGAUCAUAUAUUGGAAAAAAUUGUGGGAUUACAAUAGUUGAUAUUACAGGAGGAAUAACAUCCAAAUGUAAUGCACAAUCUAAAUAUUCUCUUAACAGCAAAACUUAAACUGACAACAUCCAUCAACAUCCCUACAACUUAACUAAAACUUAACCGAGGAACAACAUCCCUACAACCUAACUAAAACUGAAAACAAACAUCAUCGUCAUCAUCGUGAACCAGAACAUCAUAAUCAUCAUCAUUGUAGUAUACUUGCCAUGCACCCAUGAUUGUUCAUAUAUUUUUUGAAUCUACAAAGAAAAUAACAAAAUGAACCGUUAAUACACAAUACAUUGACAUGAUGCAAAUAGUGACAGGUUGCCCAGCAAAUAAGAAACAUUACUUCUUACAAAGGGUCAUUACUUCUGAAACAUUGGUUGCCCGGCUAGAUUACGACUAUUACAAAGAAAAGUUGUGACCUGAAAGUAUUCAGUUACAACUCAAUAUACUACUUCAGGUCACAAAACAAAGAUAUACAGACUCAGAGAAAAAUAAAUAGAUUUGGUUGUGGCCUAAAAGCAAGACACUAAUAACAUAGGACCUACUUAAGUUGAAGGGUUAAAAGCACAAUAGACACUGCUCAUAUGGAACAGGGAAAGCGACAUAAUGGGAAAUUCAGCAAUGUACGAACCGUGAAAGCAAGAGUUCAUGUGGGUAAUUCAGCAAUUUAUUAAUCAAAGUGGUGGGAGCUCAGUGGUCAGUUUAGCAAUGUACGAAUCAAAAGGGCAAGAGCAUCUAAGAAGAACAUUACUUGCAUUUCCGUCUUCACAACAGUUAAGAUAUGGGGAUCAUAGACAAUUACCAGAACUAUGACUAUGAACACUGCCGUAUCUUGGACAAAUCUACUAGCAGCUCCAGCCGUCCAAGGUGUUGGCCUCCAUCUCGAUAGUGCCGGAACGGAUGAGUGUGGCACCUCACAUUAAAUUACACACAACAAUAGGUACAUCAUUGGGAAGUACAUAAAUAGUUAAAUAAGAGCAGAAAGGGAGGCUGAAAAAUGGUUAGAGCUAAUCUAAGCAAUGAAGGAAUAAACAAAUAAUCACCACAACGGAAAUAGUCUUAGUUGAAGGUAAAACUCAGUGAUGUACUAUGAAUGUAGAGACUGGCACAUUGAAAGGCACUGAAUGGCAUUGAGUAUUUCUUUCUUUGGAAACCUGCGCACAAACAAACAGUGAGCCUCUACUUAACGAAUGACAAACAUGAUGCACAAACAAACAGUGAGCUUCUACUUAACGAAUGACAAACAUGAUGAUUAACAGUGAGCCGCUCCCGGUGUAUAUGUGUGUGUGCUUGCUGCGAGCCUUAGUAUAUGCAUGUUUGUACAUUAAAAUGCAUAAAGCUCAGGUGUAGGUUGCAUCUAAGUGAGGUACUGGGAUUCAGUUUUAUUUUCACUAUGAUGUACAGCGGUAGUAGAUUAGUACCUUUUUUUAGAUUAGUAGAUCAGUACUUGAUAUAGAUGAAUCCUCUGCGUUGACUUGACCCAAGUGCAUAUAUAAUAACUGCAUGCUAUGAGAGGACAAUCACAUAAACAAAUGACAAGAAAAUGUGUACUAUCUUAUGGUGAGUUUUUAGAUGAAGAGGCUAGCAAGACCAAGGAAUUUAACUGGGGAGUUGCAUAAUAGCAUUUCAAACCGAAGGAAGAGAAGGACGUCAUGUAUCGAAAUAUAAUUGGAAACUAACAGUCAGUGGUGGAGCUACAAACAAAAACCUGGGCGGGCCAAAUUAAAAGGAACACGAAUAUUUCAACUCAAGCGAUGGAUGAAGAGCUGCUGCUGAUAAAUCUUUCUCAACUUUACAUCUCUUUUUCUCUUGAAAACCAAAUUGAUUCUGCGUUGAUUAGCCUUGCUUUCCACGACAAUUAUCUAGUACCAAAUUAAGAUGUGUAUUAUCAAUUUAUUGAAUUUCAAAGUGUUAUAACUUAUAACCUACAUUUUAUACGAAAAUUAGUAUUGUCCGAGAGACGAGAGUUUUGGGGGUGCGCAUGUGCUUGUGCAGUAGUGCUCGUCGUCUAGGUUGCUACUCGCCCGGGUGGCCACCGCUACAUGGGUCGCCCUUGGGCGUCCGCACCACUCGGCGCUGCUACUUGCUCCGGCGGUGCGACCGGUGACUCGACCUCCGCGGCUCCGCGCCACCUCUCUGGACCUCCCUGCGGCUGUACGUGUGGCUCGUGCCCUAUCGCCGUUCUGCUACUCUACUGGAUAGGAAGAGGAGUCAAGCAACAGAGGCCAGAGGCCAAGAAAUAAUCGUGAAGAAGCGAUGCUACAUGCAAACAAGGUAGUCGUGAGCUGGGCUACUCGUCUAUCUGUACUACUACAUGUAUGUUUACCCCAAGUGCUGGGCGGGCCAUGGCAUGCUUUUGCCUCACGAAGCUCCGCCAGUGGUAACAGUAUAUCACAUACUACAAGAAACAGUGUAUCAUUUGACAUGUUCAUGAAAUUGAAUGUUUGUUACACCGUAGCAACACACGAGUAUUUAGCUAGUAAUCCAAAUUGUGCAGAAUAGUAAGCGCAUACAACAAUCAGUACAUUAACAGGCAUGGAGAGAAGUAUUUAUCAGUGUUCUCUGAAUUCUGAAUCAUAUCAACAGCAUCAAAGCAACAUCAUAGAAGAAACAAUGUGGAUGAUUAAUUCACCUGCUCACUAAAACAAAGGUGUCCGUGCUUCCUCCAAAACAGGUCCACGUCCUCUAGUAUUUAAGCUGGACGUGAAAGCCACCAUUAGCAAGCUACUACCUCCACCUAAAUAACCUGACCAUCAGACUCCUGAAAAGUGUGAAAUUGCAACAAAAAACUUCGAUUAGUAACUCAUCAAAACUGCCAUACAGAGACGACCUAUUAAGACUGUGUCCCUCCUUAAAUAUUAUAACUCUUGCAAUAGACUAUUUAAUAUGGGGUACGCAUAUAUGAAGUAGUUCUUCUCUACAUCAAACAAAUUGAAAGGAUUAACGAGUCAUCUAUCAAGGAUUGAUGAGUUAGCAGCGUAUAAGAUUUUUAAAAAAAUUGAUUGAUGCACAAUUGAUAUAUAAUAAUUACUAAUUUAAUAGAAUAGCAAUCAGUGCAUGAACAACGGAGAUCGGAAGAGUCAGUCUGCAGGCAUAUCAGUGUUCGUCGCACAAGGGCCAAACUUUUCUGACAGGGAUUAGCUGCAAUAGAAUUGGGGUGCAUACCUAGACAUCUACACGAGAAGAGAAGAACAGAGGUUAGAGAAAGGGGAAGAGAGAGAGGACGAAGCCAGGGGAGGGUAUUCACUCACCGGACGAGAAAGACGACAUGGCCACUGGCGCCGGCGCCGGCGCCCGAAACCCUAGCCAUCGCGGGAAGGUCGCGGGUGGGCUUUGGUAGCCGCGGGCGCCAGAUCUAGCUGCAUGGGAGCGCGCCACGGUGUGAAGGGACCUCGGGCAUGGCGGGAUUCGCCGGAAGUCGCCUGAAUCAACCGCCGCAGGUGGCGCCACGAGGAGCUGCACUGAGAGAGAGAGAGAGAGAGAGAUGGGAUGUGAGAGGGAUGGGGUAGGUGGGGGAUGAGGCAGAUCCGGUAGCCUCAAGAGCAGCGAUAUGGGAGGAACGGAGGGGAGGGCCGGCGGCGAGGUGGGAGGACGAGGGUGACGAGGCGGUUAGUGGCGGCGAUUUGGGAGAGAUGAGGGGCAUCGAUGGCUUUGUUUCUCGCGU
RNAcentral lists this long non-coding RNA (3775 nucleotides) under Triticum aestivum (bread wheat). RNAcentral describes it as "long non-coding RNA (TAES_LNC027599)". Lineage: Eukaryota; Viridiplantae; Streptophyta; Magnoliopsida; Poales; Poaceae. The record is from RNAcentral.